GAUCAGUGAUGAAAAUAGCCAAAUCUGAGCAUAAAACCUUGCCUUCUACCUAAUGCAUGGUAUCUGUAGUUCUGAGA
Small nucleolar RNA from Vicugna pacos (alpaca), 77 nucleotides. RefSeq annotates it as small nucleolar RNA U2-19. Lineage: Eukaryota; Metazoa; Chordata; Mammalia; Artiodactyla; Camelidae. The record is from RefSeq and is a predicted model, not a curated record.